GAAGUUUGGGAUGAACUAAGCCAUGCGAGUCAUUGUAGUAAUACAAGGCAGACGGCUCAGUAACGCGUCCUUUAAUAACCUAUGGACGGGAAUAACCCCGGGAAACUGACUUUAAUGAAAGAUAGAACAUUAUGGGUGGAAUGGUUUAUGUUUAAAAUGAUUUAUAGCAGUAGGAUGGGAAUGCCCCCUAUCAGUUUGUUGGUGAGGUAAUGGCCCACCAAGACUAUUACAGGUACGGGCUCUGAGAGGAGUAGCCCGGAGAUGGGUACUGAGACACGGACCCAGGCCCUAUGGGGCGCAGCAGGCGAGAAAACUUUGCAAUGUGCGAAAGCACGACAAGGUUAAUCCAAGUGUUUUCUGCUUAAGGAAACCUUUUGUCGUCCUUAAAAACCCCGAAGAAAAAGGGGUGUUUUUUUUCUGGUGUCAACCGCCCGGGAAAAACCCUGCCCCCCAAGGGGCCCGGAUGAUUAUGGGGGCUAAAGCAUUCGUGAACCGGUUUUUAAAAUUUUCGGGUAAAACUGUAUGCUCCAAAUAACAGGUGGCCGGAAUUCUGGCAAAAUUAGGAGUGGGGGAAGGGGAAAAGGCCUCCGGAAGAAAGGGGUAAAACCCUUUUUUUAUUUGAGGACACCCGUGGAGAAAGGGGGCUACCCAAAACCUCCCAAAGGGGGGGAUGUAAGUGGGGGAACAAACCGAAUUAAAAACCCGGGGAGGCCCCGCUUGUAAAAUUGCAACUCCCCGAUGUAUUUGGUUUUGGCCAAGAGGUGGUGGGGGAAACCCUUUAGUUUCCCCCCGGAAAUACCUUCGCAGUUUUAAAUCCAAAGAAUUUGCGGAAU
Molecule: ribosomal RNA, 833 nt
Filed under: uncultured archaeon
Lineage: Archaea
Description: partial 16S ribosomal RNA
Rfam family: Archaeal small subunit ribosomal RNA
Source: RNAcentral